AUUGAACGCUGGCGGCAGGCCUAACACAUGCAAGUCGAGCGGAUGAAGGGAGCUUGCUCCUGGAUUCAGCGGCGGACGGGCGAGUAAUGCCUAGGAAUCUGCCUGGUAGUGGGGGAUAACGUCCGGAAACGGGCGCUAAUACCGCAUACGUCCUGAGGGAGAAAGUGUGGGAUCUUCGGACCUCACGCUCUCAGAUGAGCCUAGGUCGGAUUAGCUAGUUGGCGGGGUAAAGGCCUACCAAGGCGACGAUCCGUAACUGGUCUGAGAGGAUGAUCAGUCACACUGGAACUGAGACACGGUCCAGACUCCUACGGGAGGCAGCAGUGGGGAAUAUUGGACAAUGGGCGAAAGCCUGAUCCAGCCAUGCCGCGUGUGUGAAGAAGGUCUUCUGAUUGUAAAGCACUUUAAGUUGGGAGGAAGGGCAGUAAGUUAAUACCUUGCUGUUUUGACGGUACCCACAGAAUAAGCACCGGCUAACUUCGUG
Molecule: ribosomal RNA, 484 nt
Filed under: uncultured bacterium
Lineage: Bacteria
Description: partial 16S ribosomal RNA
Rfam family: Bacterial small subunit ribosomal RNA
Source: RNAcentral